This 306-nucleotide long non-coding RNA is filed under the name Marmota monax (woodchuck). The record is from RNAcentral. Lineage: Eukaryota; Metazoa; Chordata; Mammalia; Rodentia; Sciuridae.
UGGGGGGGAACUUUUGUAAAUCAAAGGAGAACAUAUUAAAGAAAUUAAUUUUAAGUGGGUAUUACUGGAUAUAUAAAAGACCAGAACAACUUAGGUUCUUCUGGGACUGUUUAAUAUUAUUUUUUUUAAAAACAGAAUGUUCUGGGCACCUCUCUGUACUCUGAAAUGCAUGUGUGUUAGGGUGGGGGUGGGGGGAGUUGUGGGCCCUCACUUGGUCCUUCUCUUGUUUUUUCCAGGACAAAGCCAGAGUUCCCUUGUUAGCUGGCCACCCUUGCCCCCUUUUUUCCUCUGGUCCUUUUCCCCAUG